Molecule: ribosomal RNA, 472 nt
Filed under: uncultured organism
Description: partial 16S ribosomal RNA
Rfam family: Bacterial small subunit ribosomal RNA
Source: RNAcentral
CACUCCUACGGGAGGCAGCAGUGGGGAAUUUUGGACAAUGGGCGGAAGCCUGAUCCAGCAAUGCCGCGUGAGUGAAGAAGGCCUUCGGGUUGUAAAGCUCUUUUGUCAGGGAAGAAACGGUGAGAGCUAAUAUCUCUUGCUAAUGACGGUACCUGAAGAAUAAGCACCGGCUAACUACGUGCCAGCAGCCGCGGUAAUACGUAGGGUGCAAGCGUUAAUCGGAAUUACUGGGCGUAAAGCGUGCGCAGGCGGUUUUGUAAGUCUGAUGUGAAAUCCCCGGGCUCAACCUGGGAAUUGCAUUGGAGACUGCAAGGCUAGAAUCUAGCAGAGGGGGGUAGAAUUCCACGUGUAGCAGUGAAAUGCGUAGAUAUGUGGAGGAACACCGAUGGCGAAGGCAGCCCCCUGGGUCAAGAUUGACGCUCAUGCACGAAAGCGUGGGGAGCAAACAGGAUUAGAUACCCUGGUAGUCCCA